UACGGAGGUGGCGAGCGUUGCUCGGAAUCACUGGGCGUAAAGGGCGCGUAGGCGGGGAGGUAAGUCGGGUGUGAAAUCCCUUGGCCCAACCGAGGAACUGCGCCCGAGACUGCUUCUCUUGAGUCCCGGAGAGGAAGGUGGAAUUCCCGGUGUAGCGGUGAAAUGUGUAGAGAUCGGGAGGAACACCGGUGGCGAAGGCGGCCUUCUGGACGGUGACUGACGCUGAGGCGCGAAAGCGUGGGGAGCAAACGGG
RNAcentral lists this ribosomal RNA (253 nucleotides) under uncultured bacterium. Its description in RNAcentral is "partial 16S ribosomal RNA". It matches the Rfam family "Bacterial small subunit ribosomal RNA", at positions 524 to 776 of the family's 1533-position model. The record is from RNAcentral.